CCUACGGGAGGCAGCAGUGAGGAAUAUUGGUCAAUGGACGAGAGUCUGAACCAGCCAAGUAGCGUGAAGGAUGACUGACCUCUGGGUGGAAAACUUCAUUUAUAUGGGAGUAAAAUGUUCCACGUGUGGGAUUUUGUAUGUACCCAAUGAAUAAGGCUCGGCUAACUCCGUGCCAGCAGCCGCGGUAAUACGGAGGAUCCGAGCGUUAUCCGGAUUUAUUGGGUUUAAAGGGAGCGUAGGUGGAUUGUUAAGUCAGUUGUGAAAGUUUGCGGCUCAACCGUAAAAUUGCAGUUGAAACUGGCAGUCUUGAGUACAGUAGAGGUGGGCGGAAUUCGUGGUGUAGCGGUGAAAUGCUUAGAUAUCACGAAGAACUCCGAUGGCGAAGGCAGUUCACUGGACUGCAACUGACACUGAGGCUCGAAAGUGUGGGUAUCAAACAGGAUUAGAUACCCGUGUAGUC
Molecule: ribosomal RNA, 460 nt
Filed under: uncultured bacterium
Lineage: Bacteria
Description: partial 16S ribosomal RNA
Rfam family: Bacterial small subunit ribosomal RNA
Source: RNAcentral